AUGUGCGCAGAUAUGGAGGAUCUGCAGAAGGCUAUGACCAAGAUCAAGGAGCUAGAAGAAGAACUCAAGGCUACACGUAAAGACUAUAUGGAAGAAAUCGUCGCUCUAGUAAGACAGAACGGCGACCUUAAGGAGAAGAUUGGAGUAUUCAUGGGAGGAUCAGCACCCAGAGGAGAAGAGGAUGAACCUACUUGCCCAGAUAAUUAUAUCAUCAUCGACAACACCGACUCGGAUCCCGACGACAAUGAUGAUGACUAUGUUGAUGAAGCUGGAGCAGAUAUCAUGGAAUCUGCAUCGGAGCAGUUUUUCUAG
RNAcentral lists this ribosomal RNA (312 nucleotides) under Triticum aestivum (bread wheat). RNAcentral describes it as "partial small subunit ribosomal RNA". Lineage: Eukaryota; Viridiplantae; Streptophyta; Magnoliopsida; Poales; Poaceae. The record is from RNAcentral.